This is an RNA transcript of Benincasa hispida (wax gourd), 2308 nucleotides long. It is a transcript of the gene named inositol-pentakisphosphate 2-kinase-like, with no coding region annotated. NCBI's taxonomy places the organism in Eukaryota, Viridiplantae, Streptophyta, Magnoliopsida, Cucurbitales, Cucurbitaceae. The record is from RefSeq and is a predicted model, not a curated record.
AAAUAAUUGUGGGGGCAGCGGAAAGAAAAAUGGAAGCGGGUACGCGUACGCAGCUGUUCGAAUCGCCUUACACGUUUCUUCCGUAUGAUGAACGAGUCUUCGAGCUUUCUCGCAGAGUGAAACUAUGGCUGCUCCAGUCUGCGCAAGCAAUGCUUUCACUGUCAUUUCGAAGUCCCAAUUCGUUUGCAAGGCGAUUUCAUCCACACUGUAAAGCUCUCUCUUCCGGUGAAGGUCUCUGCCUGAACUUCUGCUCCGUAGUUCAUUUUCUCAAAGCUGAGCGGCUGAUCGGCCUUGACUCUUCUCAGUUGUUAGGGUUUUUUUUAACCGGACCUUGAUUCUACUCAAAGCAUUCUUGCCAAAGGUUUGAUCAGACUGCAAGAGAUUCUGCUGGAUGGAAAUCGUACUUGAGCAGAAAGAUGCUGCUGAUUGGACCUACAGAGGCGAAGGAGCUGUCAACCUCGUUCUCGCUUACACUGGAUCUUCUCCUCUUUUUCUUGGGAAAGUUAUACGGAUACAAAAGGCUCCAAGAAAUGGAUCACACGGCACGAGCGUGCGGAACCUAAUGGCUUUGUCCGCGCAUGAGCGUCUUCUGUGGAGAGAUGUAGGGGACCUUGUUUCGUGCACAGAUCGUGAUGUUGUGUGUCAAAUCUAUGUGCAGCAUGUAAUGAUCCCGUUAUUGGAUUCCAAACAUGUUGAUGCUGGGGUCCAUGUCCUUGUAACGAGAGAAUUCCUAGAGACUAUUGAGAAGAACAUUCUUAGUCAGCGUCCUGCUUGGAGGGUUAGUGCAGGGCGAGUCAAUAUACAUUGUGAUUUUGUCCUCCUUCAAUCUGACCAUUCUAUUUUUCCGCAAGGUGGUGAAGGUGAAUUUUGCAUAUCUGUCGAGAUAAAGCCAAAAUGGGGAUGUCUUCCAACUUCAAGAUUCAUAAGCAAAAGAAAUGCCAUUAAGAAAAGUGUGACUCGUUUUAGGAUGCACCAAGCAUUGAAGUUGCAGAAAGGCGAGAUAUCAGAGUUAAGUGAUUACGAUCCUCUAGAUUUGUUCUCUGGAUCCCAGGACCGUAUAUAUAAAGCAAUCAAAGAUCUCUUCUCUACCCCUCAGAAUAAUUUUCGUGUCUUCUUGAAUGGUUCCCUAGUACUUGGGGCAUCGGGUGGCUAUGCUGUUGACACUAAUUUAGCAAUUGAGGAAGCAUUUGAAGAUGCUCUUCAAUCUGUUAUCCAGAGAGGAAAUGGAUUACGAACUAUGACUUUUCUACAACUUGUUGCUGAGGCUGUAUAUAGAUCUGGAUGUUUGAAUCGUCUUCUUGAGGUUCAAAAGCUUGACAGUUUUGACAUAGAAGGGGCUAUUCAUGCGUACUAUGACGUUAUUUCUGAGCCCUGCCUGGUUUGUAGACACAUGAACGAUGAUGAAUGGUUGAACAGAUGUGCCACAUUACAUUCUGCCCAUCUUGAUCAAAGCUUGGAGAUUGUGAGGAACUAUUUAAUAGCUGCAACCGCUAAAGACUGUAGUUUGAUGAUCACAUUUAGACCCUGGCACGUUGAUUGUCCUGGCUCUACAUAUAACAGCAUAUUUGUAGAAUCAACCAAGCAAACUUUUGACUACAAGGUGAACUUCAUAGACCUGGAUCUGAAACCUUUUAAGAAGAUGGAAGAAUACUAUGAACAAGACAAUAAAAUAGUUCGCAAUUACACACAGAUGUUUGUGACAGAGCUAGGGGCAGACAAUUAUUACAGGCCCGAAGGCUUGUGAAUUUACAACACUUUGAAGGGUACUCGCCAAAGUUUGUGGCAAUUCUUCUUUUCUGAGUUGGAUGCUUUCUUUGGCAGAUUGUCUGCUGUUUUAUCUAGUCCACUGAAGAAGCAUGCUUUUUUAUCCCAAUCUUCCCGACUGACAAAAGCAUCUAUGGAGUUCAUGCGUGGCAAAUGUCUCAGAACGAUAUUUGGGGUAUGUAUCAAUAUCAUCUGAUCGAAGUUCUUCUUUUAUUUUAUUUUAUUUUUUUUAAUAAUAAAUUUGAAUUUGAAUUUUAAGUAAUGUAUGUUAGAAUCCACUAUUGACUCUUUUGCCUAAAAAUAAAAAAAGAAAGGAAAGUCUACAGGUUCCCUGUUCUGAAAUUCAUAAAUGUGUAGUAUAUACUUUUAUCAUGGGGUUCUAUGUAGAGUGAUUUGGCGACCACUUCAAGGAUAACCCUAGGAGAGUUUGUUUGGAUUUUGGAAUGGUCUAUUACCAGGGAUCUGUAUGGGUCGUACAUUGAUUUGAACUGUCUAUUUUAUUUUUUAGAUGCAUUUCUGGGAAGGCUGUUAAUUUUUUCUUGAA